ACGGAAGGCAGCAGUGGGGGAUAUUGCACAAUGGGGGAAACCCUGAUGCAGCGACGCCGCGUGAGUGAUGAAGUAUUUCGGUAUGUAAAGCUCUAUCAGCAGGGAAGAAAAUGACGGUACCUGACUAAGAAGCCCCGGCUAACUACGUGCCAGCAGCCGCGGUAAUACGUAGGGGGCAAGCGUUAUCCGGAUUUACUGGGUGUAAAGGGAGCGUAGGUGGUAUGGUAAGUCAGAAGUGAAAACCCAGGGCUCAACUUUGGGAUUGCUUUUGAAACUAUCAAACUAGAGUGCAGGAGGGGUAAGCGGAAUUCCUAGUGUAGCGGUGAAAUGCGUAGAUAUUAGGAAGAACACCGGCGGCGAAGGCGGCUUACUGGACUGUAACUGACACUGAGGCUCGAAAGCGUGGGGAGCAAACAGGAUUAGAUACCCUGGUA
RNAcentral lists this ribosomal RNA (434 nucleotides) under uncultured Lachnospiraceae bacterium. RNAcentral's name for it is "partial 16S ribosomal RNA". It matches the Rfam family "Bacterial small subunit ribosomal RNA", at positions 341 to 792 of the family's 1533-position model. Lineage: Bacteria; Bacillati; Bacillota; Clostridia; Lachnospirales; Lachnospiraceae. The record is from RNAcentral.